Homarus americanus (American lobster) is the source of this 795-nucleotide long non-coding RNA. RefSeq lists it as uncharacterized. The transcript has 3 exons. Lineage: Eukaryota; Metazoa; Arthropoda; Malacostraca; Decapoda; Nephropidae. The record is from RefSeq and is a predicted model, not a curated record.
CAGUGACAUCAACACACCUUUUCUUUAGAAUGUGUGUGGGUAUCGUAUUAUGAAUAUCACAUAAUACACGGUUUAUACCACAAGUAAUCAGCUGUCACUGAAUCACGUGUUAAGUAGGAGUAGACGAAUUUGAAUGUUCUGUGGAAGUGACAUGAUCCACCUUAAGUAAACGAGAUGAACUGAAAUGAAAUAUGAGAUCAUUCUCAAACGAAAGACAGCAUAAGUGACAUCACCUUAUUUUGGAUUAUAUAAAAAAACGCAGUAACUAAUUGAAUUGAAUUGAACUGAAUUGAAACAGUUUAUUUAGCCAGAAAAAUACAGAUACAGAGUGGAUAAUAAGAGUUAGUAUAGAGGACAACGCCCAAUAACCUCUUCUGUUCAGAACUUGAGACAUCAAAAAUAAAGACAACAGUGCAAGAGUGAUGGUUAAGCUGAAGGCGUUGGUACGGGUGUGGGUAUACAAGCUGUGGGCGGUGUGUUUGUUGCAGGAGGCUACGGAGACCUUGACUAGGGGGUGGCUAGUUAUCAUGUUCAGGUCUGAGUACAUGUGUCGUGUCUCCCUCAGGAACGAUAAGUGGUGUAUGGUGCCAUCCCUCACCCAGACUAUGAUGCAUCGUCUGCCGUCUUGGAAUUGCGUGUACGAUCCAUGGUGCAACGCGUUGGUGUACAAAGAGACGACCCCACCCCUUAUAACCCGCCUUUCAAUACUGGGGUUGGCACUGACGGUGUCCCUCCUGGUGGCAUGGAGCCCAAGGAUCCUCACCUACCGUCCCUCCCACCCUUUGUUGCUUUUGG